This 484-nucleotide ribosomal RNA is filed under the name Skeletonema cf. costatum. Its description in RNAcentral is "SSU rRNA". It matches the Rfam family "Eukaryotic small subunit ribosomal RNA", at positions 626 to 1117 of the family's 1831-position model. Lineage: Eukaryota; Bacillariophyta; Thalassiosirophyceae; Thalassiosirales; Thalassiosiraceae. The record is from RNAcentral.
GCUCGUAGUUGGAUUUCUGGCAGGAGUGACUGACCACAAACUCUGUUUGUGAGUUGUGUCAUUCUGGCCAUCCUUGGUAAGAUCCUUUUUGGCAUUAAGUUGUCGGGAAGGGGAUGACCAUCGUUUACUGUGAAAAAAUUACAGUGUUUAAAGCAGGCUUAUGCCGUUGAAUAUAUCAUCAUGGAAGAAUAAGAUAGGACUUUGAGUCUAUUUUGUUGGUUUGCGAGUCAAAGUAAUGAUUAAUAGGGACAGUUGGGGGUAUUCGUAUUUCAGUGUCAGAGGUGAAAUUCUUGGAUUUCUGAAAGACCAACUACUGCGAAAGCAUUUACCAAGGAUGUUUUCAUUAAUCAAGAACGAAAGUUAGGGGAUCGAAAAGGAGGUGAUACCAUCGUAGUCUUAACCCUAAACUAUGCCGACUCAGGAUUGGCGGUUGUUUUUUGACUCCGUCAGCACUGUAUGAGAAAUCAAAGUCUUUGGGUUCCGG